UGAAGGAUAACGUUGCUUUAGCAACGGCCCGAAGGGCGAGGCGAAGCCGAGUCAUCCUGCACGACCCACCA
This 71-nucleotide small RNA is filed under the name Salmonella enterica subsp. enterica serovar Derby. RNAcentral describes it as "partial RtT sRNA". It matches the Rfam family "RtT RNA", at positions 56 to 130 of the family's 130-position model. Rfam says of the family: This family represents a bacterial cis-regulatory element known as RtT RNA. The exact function of RtT is unknown although it is thought that it may be involved in changing the cellular response in relation to amino acid starvation. The record is from RNAcentral. Lineage: Bacteria; Pseudomonadati; Pseudomonadota; Gammaproteobacteria; Enterobacterales; Enterobacteriaceae. RNAcentral also lists the same sequence under 1 other name.